GACGGAGGUCCCUAGCGUUGUUCGGAAUCACUGGGCUUAAAGCGCGUGUAGGCGGACUGGCGCGUACCUUGUGAAAGCCCCCGGCUCAACCGGGGAAUAGCUCGGUAUACGGCCAGUCUUGAGGCAGAUAGAGGUGCCUGGAACCUUAGGUGGAGCGGUGAAAUGCGUAGAUAUCUAAGGGAACGCCGGUGGCGAAAGCGGGGCACUGGGUCUGUUCUGACGCUGAGACGCGAAAGCGUAGGGAGCAAACGGG
This 253-nucleotide ribosomal RNA is filed under the name uncultured bacterium. RNAcentral describes it as "partial 16S ribosomal RNA". It matches the Rfam family "Bacterial small subunit ribosomal RNA", at positions 524 to 776 of the family's 1533-position model. The record is from RNAcentral.